Molecule: ribosomal RNA, 261 nt
Filed under: uncultured archaeon
Lineage: Archaea
Description: partial 16S ribosomal RNA
Rfam family: Archaeal small subunit ribosomal RNA
Source: RNAcentral
CAGCCGUAAACAAUGUGCGUUAGGUGUGUCGGUAACCACGCGUUACUGAUGCGCCGAAGAGAAAUCGUGAAACGCACCACCUGGGAAGUACGGUCGCAAGGCUGAAACUUAAAGGAAUUGGCGGGGGAGCACCACAACAGGUGGAGCCUGCGGUUUAAUUGGAUUCAACGCCGGACAUCUCACCGGAUAAGACAGCUGAAUGAUUGCCGGGCUGAAGACUCUGCAUGACUAGCUGAGAGGUGGUGCAUGGCGUCAGUGACU